UGUUGUGGCCUCUCCCGUUGCGGAGCACAGGCUCCGAAUGCGCAGGCUCAGCGGCCAGGGCUCACAGGCCUAGCUGCUCUACAGCAUGUGGAAUCUUCCCAGACUGGGGCACGAACCCAUGUCACCUGCAUCGGCAGGCGGACUCUCAACCACUGCGCCACCAGGGAAGCCCUGUUGAGCGAAGGCGGCCACCAUGUUCUGCCUGCCUUCUGCUGCACAAGGUGGGGAGUCGCUCCAGGACCUGGCUUCAAACGUGUAAGCUCCUGUGUUCAUUAAACCACUGAUGGCUCUGUUGCUACUCUGGGCUCUAUCUUCAGUCUUGCAGCUGGGCAACUGCAGGGCUGCGGGGUGCAGCCCAACAUCAAUGUAUGCAUAUAGAGUCAAAAUUAUUGUUUGAGAUUUCAGUGAAAAUUUUCACUCAUGUACACACACCUGCAUACAUAUGGAUUUAUAUUAUAUCUAUUUUUCUUGAUUUUUUCUUUUAGUAUGUCAUACAGACAAAAAUAAGGCUUGAAUAUGAUAAAAAUACAUGGAAAGUUUCUUUGAGUUUUAUAAAAUGGAGUGCUAUUCUAUUUAUUGUUGCUGCAUAAAAAUUGACUCCAAAACUUAAGGGCUUAAAGCAACAACAGUCAUUUUAUUAUUUCUCACAGUGUCUGUGGGUCAAGAAUUUGGGAAUGCACUAGCAGCAUAGUCUGGCUACAGGUCUCCCUCGAAAUUGCAGUCAGAUGGUGAGUAAAGCUGGAAUAGCAGGUGACUGGAGAAGCUAGGGGCUUUGCUAGACAUCUCUUUUUUAUGAAUUUUCUUUGUUUGGUUUUAGUAUCAGCCUUAAGCUGGUUACAUAGAAUGAGUUAGAAAGUGUUGCUUGGUUUUCUAAUCUAUGAAAGAUUGGGGGGGAAUAUUUGAUAUUAUUUCUUCCUUAAAUAGUUCAGAGAAUGCAUCAGGUGGAGCCAUCUGACCCAGUGCUUUUCUUUUUUUAACACGGAUUUUAUAUGAGUUAAAUUUCACUUACAGAUGUAGGAUUAUUCAAAUUUUAUAUUCAUUUUGUAUCUGUAUUGCUAAAUUGAAUUUGUAAGAAAUUUGUCUGUUUUAUUAAAAAUUCUAAGUUAUUGGUAAAAUGGUGUAUAUAAUAGCCUGUUAUUAUAGUUUUGGUAUUUACAAUAAAUAUUGUGGUGUCCCUAUUUUCAUUCUUGAUACUGCUAAUUUGUAUAUUCGCAUAUAUUCUUGAUCUCUUCUGUUAGGUGUUUAUCGAUUUUAUUAUUCUUUUCAAAGAUCCACCUUUUGGCUCUACUGAUUUUGUCUAUUAUAUGUCUAUUCUUGUUCUUUGAUAUUUCCUCAUUUUUAAAAAUUAUUCUUUCCUCUUUUAUACUUUAGCUUUAAUUUUCUGUUCUUUUGCUAACUGCUUGAGUUGGAAGCUUAGAUAAUUUAUUUUUAAACAUUCUUCUUUUAUAAUACAUGCUUUUAAAGCUAUAAAAGUCCAUAUGAACACACUGCUCUAGGUACAUUACACAAGUUUUGAUAUGUUGAAUUUUCAUUAUCUUUCAGCUCAAAGUAUUUCUUAAUAAAAUCUAUCGCUUUCUUUUUUCGGUUCCUUAAAAGUAGUUUCCUUAGUUUCCAAACACCUGCUGAAAGAUAGUAGUUAUUCUACUAGUGGGUUCUUCAUUAUACAAUUUUCUUUUUUAAACUGCUGAGAGUUUCUUUGUGGCUCAAAUUAAGAUCUACUUUGGUAUAUGUUCUAUAUGUACUUCAAAAGAAAGUUUUCUUUCUUCUACAAAUGUAGGUGAAAUGUUUUAUAAGGGUCUAUCAGAGUAAGUUAGUGAAUUAUAUUGUUCAAAUCUUUUUUACUGAUAAUUUUUAUUUGCAUCAUCUCUGGUACUGAAAGAUAUGUGUUUGUUAAAAGCUACAGUCAGGAUUAUUGAUUUCUUUCUCUCUAAAUCCUGUUUUCUUUAUGUGUUUUGAAACUGUAUGUCCUGGUGUGUAUCAAAAUUGUAUUUUUAUGUCUUCAUGUUGAAUUAAGCCAUUUAUCACUAUGAAAUAAAUAUUUUCUUUAUAUCCCAUGAA
This is a long non-coding RNA of Globicephala melas (long-finned pilot whale), 2058 nucleotides long. RefSeq lists it as uncharacterized. The record is from RefSeq and is a predicted model, not a curated record. NCBI's taxonomy places the organism in Eukaryota, Metazoa, Chordata, Mammalia, Artiodactyla, Delphinidae.